This 397-nucleotide ribosomal RNA is filed under the name uncultured bacterium. RNAcentral's name for it is "bacterial SSU rRNA". It matches the Rfam family "Bacterial small subunit ribosomal RNA", at positions 355 to 776 of the family's 1533-position model. The record is from RNAcentral.
UUAGGAAUUUUGCGCAAUGGACGAAAGUCUGACGCAGCGACAUCGCGUGAAGGAUGAAGGCCUUAGGGUCGUAAACUUCUUUUAUUUUGCCAUGAAGGCAUUUUGAAUCAACAGCUACUAACUACGUGCCAGCAGUCGCGGUAAUACGUAGGCUGUAAGCGUUACCCGGUUUUAUUGGGCGUAAAGCGUCUGUAGGUGGUUUGAUAAGUCUUGUUUCAAAGUCCCCGGCUCAACCGGGGGUAGGGGCAGGAUACUGUCAGACUAGAGUGAUAUCGGGGUUACUGGAAUUUGUAGUGUAGGGGUAAAAUCCGUGGAUACUACAAAGAACACCAAGCGCGAAGGCGGGUAACCAGGUAUAUACUGACACUCAGAGACGAAAGCUAGGGUAGCCAAUCAG